This 440-nucleotide ribosomal RNA is filed under the name uncultured bacterium. RNAcentral's name for it is "partial 16S ribosomal RNA". It matches the Rfam family "Bacterial small subunit ribosomal RNA", at positions 338 to 795 of the family's 1533-position model. The record is from RNAcentral.
CCUACGGGUGACAGCAGUGGGGAAUUUUGGACAAUGGGGGAAAGCCUUAUCCAGCGACGCCGCGUGAGCGAAGAACGUUUUCGGAUUUUAAACCCCUGUCAGUGGGGCCGAUAUUGACGGUACCCACGGAGGAAGCCACGGCUAACUACGUGCCAGCAGCCGCGGUAAUACGUAGGGUGCAAGCGUUGUCCGGAAUUAUUGGGUGGAAAGGAGGCGUAGGCGGGAUGUAAAGUCCGAAGUGAAAAUUAGGGGAUCAACUCAUAUCCUGCUUUUGAAACUUGUAUUCUUGAGUGAAGUAGAGGCAAGCGGAAUUCCUAGUGUAGCGGUGAAAUGCGUAGAUAUUAGGAGGAACACCAGUGGCGAAGGCGGCUUACUGGGCCUUUACUGACGCUGAGGCUCGAAAGCGUGGGGAGCAAACAGGAUUAGAUACCCUAGUAGUC